CAGCAGCCGCGGUAAUACGUAGGGUGCGAGCGUUAAUCGGAAUUACUGGGCGUAAAGCGUGCGCAGGCGGUUCGUUAAGACAGAUGUGAAAUCCCCGGGCUUAACCUGGGAACUACAUUUGUGACUGGCGAGCUAGAGUAUGGCAGAGGGGGGUAGAAUUCCACGUGUAGCAGUGAAAUGCGUAGAUAUGCGGAGGAACACCGAUGGCGAAGGCAGCCCCCUGGGCCAACACUGACGCUCAUGCACGAAAGCGUGGGGAGCAAACAGGAUUAGAGACCCCUGUAGUCCCUGUCUCUUAUAC
RNAcentral lists this ribosomal RNA (301 nucleotides) under uncultured bacterium. Its description in RNAcentral is "partial 16S ribosomal RNA". It matches the Rfam family "Bacterial small subunit ribosomal RNA", at positions 509 to 807 of the family's 1533-position model. The record is from RNAcentral.